Molecule: ribosomal RNA, 492 nt
Filed under: uncultured bacterium
Lineage: Bacteria
Description: partial 16S ribosomal RNA
Rfam family: Bacterial small subunit ribosomal RNA
Source: RNAcentral
AGUGAACGCUGGCGGUAGGCCUAACACAUGCAAGUCGAACGGCAGCACAGUAAGAGCUUGCUCUUACGGGUGGCGAGUGGCGGACGGGUGAGGAAUACAUCGGAAUCUACUUUUUCGUGGGGGAUAACGUAGGGAAACUUACGCUAAUACCGCAUACGACCUACGGGUGAAAGCAGGGGAUCUUCGGACCUUGCGCGAUUGAAUGAGCCGAUGUCGGAUUAGCUAGUUGGCGGGGUAAAGGCCCACCAAGGCGACGAUCCGUAGCUGGUCUGAGAGGAUGGUCGGCCGCACUGGAACGUGGACCCGGUCCCGACUCCUGAGGGAGGCAGCAGUGGGGAAUAUUGGACAAUGGGCGCAAACCUGGUCCAGCCCUACCGCGUGGGGUAAGGAGGCCCUCGGGGUGUAAAGCCCGUUUUUUGGGAAAGAAAAGCAGCAGGUUAAUACCCCGCUGUUCUGACGGUACCCAAAGAAUAAGCACCGGCUAACUUCGUG